This 475-nucleotide ribosomal RNA is filed under the name uncultured Acholeplasma sp. Its description in RNAcentral is "bacterial SSU rRNA". It matches the Rfam family "Bacterial small subunit ribosomal RNA", at positions 902 to 1382 of the family's 1533-position model. The record is from RNAcentral. Lineage: Bacteria; Bacillati; Mycoplasmatota; Mollicutes; Acholeplasmatales; Acholeplasmataceae.
CAAAGGCAUUGACGGGACCCCGCACAAGCGGUGGAUCAUGUUGUUUAAUUCGAUGAUACGCGAAGAACCUUACCAGGUCUUGACAUCCCCCGCGAUGCUUUAGAGAUAAAGCGGAGGUAUUCGGGGAGACAGGUGGUGCAUGGUUGUCGUCAGCUCGUGUCGUGAGAUGUUGGGUUAAGUCCCGCAACGAGCGCAACCCCUAUUGCUAGUUACCAUCAUUAAGUUGGGGACUCUAGCGAGACUGCCAGUGAUAAACUGGAGGAAGGUGGGGAUGACGUCAAAUCAUCAUGCCCCUUAUGACCUGGGCUACAAACGUGAUACAAUGGCUGGAACAAAGGGAUGCGAAGCAGUGAUGUGGAGCGAAACCCAUAAAAACAGUCUCAGUUCGGAUUGAAGUCUGCAACUCGACUUCAUGAAGUCGGAAUCGCUAGUAAUCGCGGAUCAGAACGCCGCGGUGAAUACGUUCUCGGGGUUU